UUCAAUAAUGUUUUCUUGAAGAGGUCUC
RNAcentral lists this small RNA (28 nucleotides) under Bombyx mori (domestic silkworm). Its description in RNAcentral is "ovarian small RNA-9501". Lineage: Eukaryota; Metazoa; Arthropoda; Insecta; Lepidoptera; Bombycidae. The record is from RNAcentral.